RNAcentral lists this ribosomal RNA (253 nucleotides) under uncultured bacterium. RNAcentral describes it as "partial 16S ribosomal RNA". It matches the Rfam family "Bacterial small subunit ribosomal RNA", at positions 524 to 776 of the family's 1533-position model. The record is from RNAcentral.
UACGUAGGGAGCGAGCGUUGUCCGGAUUUACUGGGUGUAAAGGGUGCGUAGGCGGCUGUGCAAGUCAGAAGUGAAAUCCAUGGGCUUAACCCGUGAACUGCUUUUGAAACUGCACGGCUUGAGUGAAGUAGAGGUAGGCGGAAUUCCCGGUGUAGCGGUGAAAUGCGUAGAGAUCGGGAGGAACACCAGUGGCGAAGGCGGCCUACUGGGCUUUAACUGACGCUGAAGCACGAAAGCGUGGGUAGCAAACAGG